CAGUAGCCGCGGGAAAACCAGCACCUCGAGUGGUCAGGAGGUUUAUUGGGCCUAAAGCAUCCGUAGCCGGUUGCAUAAGUUUUCGGUUAAAUCUAUGCGCUUAACGUAUAGGCCGCCGAAAAUACUGUGCAGCUAGGGAGUGGGAGAGGUACACGGUACUCGAUAGGAAGGGGUAAAAUCCUUUGAUCUAUUGAUGACCACCUGUGGCGAAGGCGGUGUACCAGAACACGUUCGACGGUGAGGGAUGAAAGCUGGGGGAGCAAACCGGAUUAGAUACCCCGUAGUCCCUGUCUCUUAUACA
This 301-nucleotide ribosomal RNA is filed under the name uncultured bacterium. Its description in RNAcentral is "partial 16S ribosomal RNA". It matches the Rfam family "Archaeal small subunit ribosomal RNA", at positions 459 to 761 of the family's 1478-position model. The record is from RNAcentral.